GCUGGCGGCAUUCCUAACACAUGCAAGUCGAACGAAGGCUUCGGCCUUAGUGGCGCACGGGUGCGUAACGCGUGGGAAUCUGCCCUCUGGUACGGAAUAACUCAGGGAAACUUGAGCUAAUACCGUAUAAUGACUUCGGUCCAAAGAUUUAUCGCCUGAGGAUGAGCCCGCGUCGGAUUAGCUAGUUGGUGAGGUAAAGGCUCACCAAGGCGACGAUCCGUAGCUGGUCUGAGAGGAUGAUCAGCCACACUGGGACUGAGACACGGCCCAGACUCCUACGGGAGGCAGCAGUGGGGAAUAUUGGACAAUGGGCGCAAGCCUGAUCCAGCAAUGCCGCGUGAGUGAUGAAGGCCUUAGGGUUGUAAAGCUCUUUUACCCGGGAUGAUAAUGACAGUACCGGGAGAAUAAGCCCCGGCUAACUCCGUGCCAGCAGCCGCGGUAAUACGGAGGGGGCUAGCGUUGUUCGGAAUUACUGGGCGUAAAGCGCACGU
This 491-nucleotide ribosomal RNA is filed under the name uncultured soil bacterium. RNAcentral describes it as "bacterial SSU rRNA". It matches the Rfam family "Bacterial small subunit ribosomal RNA", at positions 35 to 572 of the family's 1533-position model. The record is from RNAcentral.